RNAcentral lists this long non-coding RNA (343 nucleotides) under Brassica napus (rape). RNAcentral describes it as "long non-coding RNA (BNAP_LNC017154)". The record is from RNAcentral. Lineage: Eukaryota; Viridiplantae; Streptophyta; Magnoliopsida; Brassicales; Brassicaceae.
GGUGGAGUUUAGAAUUUACGAUUUAGGAUUUAGGGUUUAGGGGCGGAGUUUAAGGUUUAGGGUUAGAGUUAAGUAGUGGGAUUUAGGAUUUAAAUUUUAGGAUUUAUGGUUUAGAGUUUAGAGUUUAGAGUUUAGGAGUGGGGUUUAGGGUUUAGGGUUUAGAGUUAAGGGAUGUGGUUUAGGAUUUAGGGUUUAGGGUUUAAGAUUUAGGGUUUAGGGUUUAGAGUUUAGGUUUUAGGGUUUAGAGUUGAGGAGUUGGGUUUUGGGAUAAGAUUUCAAAUUUUGAAAAAAAAAAAAAAUUUAAAUUUUUCAAAAGAUAAAAUGCUAUUUUUGUCAUUUUAGC